This 225-nucleotide non-coding RNA is filed under the name Xanthomonas oryzae. Lineage: Bacteria; Pseudomonadati; Pseudomonadota; Gammaproteobacteria; Lysobacterales; Lysobacteraceae. RNAcentral also lists the same sequence under 1 other name. The record is from RNAcentral.
UACCAUGCGCGCCCCUGAGGUGACUGUCGGCUUGCCGGCGGUUUAAACGGGAAUCCGGUGCGCAGAUCGCCUUGGCGUGGUGCAAUUCCGGAGCUGCCCCCGCAACGGUGGGCGAGACAAGGGUCUGCAUGUAACACCACUGUGCGGUGCACGGGAAGGCGCAGAUCCGGGAAGCGAUUGCUUCCGCUCGCAAGCCCGGAGGCCGGCCUGAAGGGAUUGACCCGG